UGCUGGUCACUGGCCCAGUUCAGGGUAGUGGGUCAUGCUUUUGGAGGUGCUGAAAGUAGUCCAGGAGUAUGGACACUUCCACUUGAGAAAGCUGGGAAGGAAAAUACUGCAUUUCCCAGAAACUGUGGCUGGGAAAGAAACCUGAAGUCGUGAGUCUGGUGGAGCCCUGCGUGUUUCCAAACGCCCUGCUCUGAGUUCAUCCCACCAGUAAGGCUGUGCAGCGUGAAAACUGCUGUUGCAAAACUACCAGAUUCAACCUCCUGGGGAGCCUUUCUGGCCAAGGUUUUACAAGCCAGCACCUGCUUUGCCUGCCUGACUCUUUCUAUAUUUAUUCCUCUGCACCUGGUUUUUGCCUUUGCCUGUGGAACUGUCACAAACAUUUGUGCUGGCUUUUGACUGCACAGGACUUCAGCUUGCAAGUCCUAAAUCUGCCUUUGUGCAUGGUGGAGGAGCAGGCGUUUUUGUGCAUGGCUGUGCCAUCUGUGUGUCUGAGC
RNAcentral lists this long non-coding RNA (494 nucleotides) under Lonchura striata (white-rumped munia). RNAcentral's name for it is "domestica (Bengalese finch) lncRNA (ENSLSDG00000010023.1)". The record is from RNAcentral. Lineage: Eukaryota; Metazoa; Chordata; Aves; Passeriformes; Estrildidae.